This is a non-coding RNA of Equus caballus (horse), 5568 nucleotides long. The record is from RefSeq and is a predicted model, not a curated record. NCBI's taxonomy places the organism in Eukaryota, Metazoa, Chordata, Mammalia, Perissodactyla, Equidae.
CGCCGGGGGCGGGCCCGGCCGAGGGGCGGGGCCAACGCGCCAGCCCCGCCCCUCUCCCGGGAGAGGCAGAGACGCGCCCAGUGGGCACAGUCUUAAAGGGCUCGCUCUCCGGGCGUGACGGGAGUGAGGCGUCAGACGAGCCUGGAAAGCAUCACCCUUCUCCUGAAAUGCGGGGACUCUAAAAGAGACUCCAGACCCCCGCUUCCUCACCUACAACGGGAGAUUCCCACCCCGCGCCCAGGUUUCUCGCCCAGCUGCCAGGCCUUUAGAGAAACUCGAGCCAAGGUGUGAACUCAGUCGUGUGCCCUGGGCCCAGAAUGUCCUGGGCUUGGACCUGGGGGUUCCUAGAUCUUGGGGGCUGCUCGAGGCUGUGCUUGAACUCCAAGCCGGCAGGGUUAGAAGUCCAAUUCUCUGCUGCGUCCUCCAGGCAUAGGACAAUCUGGGACCUCCUUCCAGGUCGCCCGCACACAGCGCAAACACGAGUAUAAACCACGAGUGUAUACCCCUUACACAUUUAUUGAGCUGCUGUUGCAUACGGGGCUCAUACAUCACACAUCUGUGAUGGACCCCUUGGCCAUGUGGCGGCUCCGAGGCACGAACACAGUCAGGAGGACAAGGAGGAAGUAUCCCGCCUCCCGCAUGCCGCCUCCCGCGUGCCCAUCCUCCAGCAGACCCCCUACCCCCCACGACUCUCCCAACUCUAUUCUACGCCUGGAACCUGGGGCCCGAGCAUGCGAGGCUUUGGAUAGACACGUGGGCCGCGGGAUUCUCACAAGGGCUUGGUUGUCCGAAGCAACUCAACCCAGGAAGUCGCGUUCCCGCAAAGCCCACUGACUCCGAGCCUGGCGCGGGCGGGCCCUGGCAAGAUCCAAGCUGCAGGGACAAUAUAGCCUGCGGAGCCCGGGAACCGGCGCCAGCUCCCACCACAUCUACAAAGCACCCGGGGGCAUGUCCACGCGGGCCUGCCCAGCACGCUUGGCCUCGGUUCAGCCACGGCAUCGAGGAAAGAUACCGGUCCUUUUGGAUGGCGGUGCAGUAAGCCGUAGCCCUCAGCAGGUUUCUGUGCUGGAUGCCGUGUAGACAUUCCUACUUCUUCCGAAAGCAACGGAGGCAGAGGAUAUUUGGGAAGGGAAGGUGUCUUGGAUCCCUCUGCGGCCCAGAGCCCCACAGGACCCCUGGCAGCGGCGCAAAGCCGGGCGGAAGAGGGCCGCGCCGCCCCUCCGGGGCCAGGCCCAGCCUGGCUGGCUGCGGAUCAAAGAGCCAGGGCCGUCCUUCUCCGCGUUCAGAUCCUAUCUGCGCCCGCCCAGCGGGGCGCCUCGGCCCCCGCCCCUCAGGGCUGGCGUGCCCGCUUUUCCUCCCUGCCAGGGGCUUGGGGGUGGGGUGGGCACUACUGUCAGCUUGGCGAUGGAGAUGUGGGGAGGACCCUGCCCCCGUUAGGUCUCCCCAGACUCCUUUCCUGAGUGUGAGCUUGCUGCCCAGCUUCGCCUCGUCGCCUCUGGAGAUGCGGGGAAGGGCUCCUGCCUGAGGCAACCCGGUCCCGAGCUGGAGCGAGGAGAGGCCCUUGGCCUCCCCCACCUCAGCCCCUGAGGUUGUCGGGUCUGUCUCUGGGAUGAGCCUCCUCUGGGAGAGCUGAAUGGGAAUAGGGAUCUGCCUAACCCAAAGGCUUUGGGGGUCCUCCUGCAUUUGGGGGUGACCCUAGCUUAGCAGGAGCCUCCUCCAGGACAAAGGUCCCCAGAUCCAUCAGGUCCUAGUGCACAGAGGCCAGUGGGGGUUGAAGUUUUCUCCAGGCGGUGGAGAAAGGAGAGAAGUCAGGGCAACGGUGAGGUGGUUGGUUUGUUUUUCUCAAAAAGGUUAAAUUUUUUUCAGCUUUGAGUAUUAGCCUUUAAUCAGAGAUUAUGAACUUUCUGCUUUAGCGGCAUGAAAACAGCCUUUCUUUACUAAAAUGAUGGUGAGAAAUGAUUUUUUUUUUAAUGUCCUUAUUUGACAACGAAAAACUUGGCUACUCUCUGUUCACUCUCCCACCUCCAAAUUUCUCUGGAUGUUUUAUAGGGCUGUGAAUCCCAAAGUCUGGGGACCACUGCCCUAUGGGGUCAUGGCUCCAACCUCUUGCCCUGCUGGCUGGAACGAGGGGCGGGGGCGGGUGAGUAGGGAGAAUAAGGGUGUGAGGAGGGGUGAGGAAUGGAGAGACCGUUGAGUCACAGACAUCCAGAGCCAUGCUAACAUCAGCCUGAAGGCCUCCUGAGGGAGCGCUGCUGUGUACCUUACCCUGGGCUCAGGCCAUGGAGAGGAAAGGGACCAGGGCAGGGUGGUGGGCGCUCCUGCUUUCUAGGAGGCGUUGGCUGCUUGAGAAGCUGAGAAAUGAUUAGAGCUGAGUUUGUUGUUGCGUUAGUCUUUGCAGAUCUUGGCCAGAAGGGGCUCAGAUAUGUUGAGAUCAAUGUGGCUGUAGUUGUCAGAUUGGCUUCCUGGAGGAAGCGGACUUCAUCUGGGCCUGGAAGUCUCUAUAGGGCUUGAAGAGGUAGAGAGGAAAAGGAGCUCAGGCUUGCCCCCAAAAGGCAGGUGCAGCCCUGCAGCAGGCCCUUGUCUGGUCAGCACUGAUUCCACCACCAUCAUCAUCUGUGCAAUGACUUCAUAUUCCUGAGUUAUUGCUAUGUACCAGACAUCAUGUCAAAAGCUUCACUCACAUUAUCUCAUUUAAUCAUCAUACCAAUCCUAUGACCUAGGGACCAUUAUCCCCAUUUAUGAAUGAGGAAACUGAAGCUCAGAGAGGUUGAAUAAGUCAACCAAGUUCUCACAGCUUGGAAAUGAGCGUCAGAAUUCCAAACCCAGGCAGUCUGACUCCUGAGCCCACACCCUAACUACCACACUCCAGUGUUCCAUUAUGACCUCUAAAAUUCAGAGGGGAUCCUUGUUUGCUCUGUGGUCUUUGCAGACAAAUGUUAAUGAAUGAGCUGUCGCUAAUAGACUUUCUGGGUGGCUCAUGUUGCAUGGAGAGGCCACCAGGAGGACUGGCGACUCUCCCUGGCUAGUCUAUAGGGUGACUCAAGCCCUUUGCUGGGUGAGAGGACCCAGAGGGUCUCUCUUGAGUCAGACAGACCUCAGUCUGUACCAUCUCUCCCCUGGGCCCACCCUAGACUGCCGCUCCGGACACUGACUCAGAUCCAUACAGAGACAAUAGGCCCUGGGGUUCUUCCACGGGCUGGUUAGGGGAUCUGCUGUCGCUGCCCUCCUUGAGGUGACCAGGGAGUUUUGGAAUCAGGGCCAGCUUCAAGGAGGCCCCAGAGUCUUCUGGACUCAUGCAGCCCAGCUCAGAGCUGGAGAUUUAAUGAGCCUUCGUCUUCAUGCAAAUGAACCAGGUGGACACGUGCUGUCCUUAGAUGCUGGAUCCAGGACAACGUCAGAGCUCAUGAGGGUUGAGGGUCAGAGCAAAAGAGCUCCAGCUUUGGAUUUAGGCAGACCUGAGUCUCCGUCCUGGUCCUACCAUUUACCAGCUGGGGAAACCCAGACAAAUCAUUGACCCUCUCUGAGCCUCAGCUUCCUCAUGGGUAAAAUGGAUGUCACACCGAGCCUGCCUCACCCUGCGGGAGCGAGGUUAAGAUGAAUUAUGACUCCUAAGAAAGAGCUUAACACAACGCCUGGCACAUCCCAAGCACUCUAAUAAGUGGGUGCUCUUGAGCUAGAUAUUUUUCGGAAGUUGUUAGGCUAAUUGGCUCUUCAUGUAACGUCAUGUAAAUCAUCUAAAUGUUCUCAUGGCCUGAGCCCACUUAAUCACAGCUGAGGCUGAAAACACACAUUUCCUUUCCUUUUCUUUCAAGUUCCUUUAACAUGAAAAGCCCGCGUGAACUCUCUGACCUUUUCUAACAGGGAGACCCUUGAAAUGUGGCAUUUGCAGAAGGCGACUCAAAGGAGCCCCAGAUGGAUUUGGUAAAUUACAACGGGGAGAGGUUCAGAGUGGCGUCUCUUCCCGCCCGCCGGCCCGCCUGGCAUCCUGUUGGGGCUUGCCCACCGCCGCCAGGAGGCUGGGCUGCCGGCUCUGGGCAGGGACACUUCCCGUGGAGCCUUCUCUCUCAGGGCAAAGCCUGGUCACACGUUCUAGAGUCAGACUGUGGUUUGUUACUAGAAACACAGUUUGCUCUCUGGAAACUCUGUAGUUUCCCUGCAUGUUUGUGCUUGUGUGUCCAUGUGUGUGCAUGUGGGUAGUUGUGGCUUGCAGAAUGGCACAGACACACAAUUGCUGUGAUGUAACUACCCUGGGUCAGGUACCAGGCAGCUGUCUUUAAAACGAAGCAAGAAGGGUUUGAGGUCUUUUCUUCCUUCUUUAUAAUCUUGUGUGGGUUCUCUCUCCCCACCCCCGAUUUUAUGCAAUAACCAAAAAUUGCUCUUAAAAUAAAAAUUUAAUAAUAAAGCUAGAAUUUACCUAUUCCUGAUGAAACCCCAAGGAAGUUUGGCCAAAUUGGCUUGAGGGGUGUGGUGGUAAGAUUACAAAGAACUGUCCCACAGGUUCAGAGGGCUUGUUAGGACAGUUUCCCAUGGGCUAAUUUCCCACACGGUGCCAGCCAUUGUUCCCAGUGACUGGGGCUGGGAGUCAUUCGCCAAGAGGAAUAAAUAGCCCUGGGUUUCCACAGGAAAGUGUCUGGAGUCUGAGGCACCAAGGUGUCAGCAGCAAAGGCAAGCUGGGAGUGGCUGCUGUCUGCCAAGCACCGUGUCACCAGGGCGCACUGGUCUCCUAAGAGCUUGGUGGUGGGAGGCCUGUGUUCCGGUCCCUGCUCCACCUGGGUGAACUGCCAGGGGAACUCAAGUAAGUCCUCUGCCUUCUCCGGGCCUAGUGCCCCUUACCUAGUUCCAAGGAUGCAGGAGAAGCCCACAGCAAUGAGACCAGACCAGGGAUGAGAGACGAGAAGCAUCGCAAGUGCAACAAGAAGUGGGGGAUUCUGAGACCAAACAUCCAGGAAGUCAGAACUUCUCUGUUGUACUUUGUUCUUCGAAUUUUUAAUGCGUGUGAGUAAAUGCCAGCUCUGGGAGGAAUCCACCAUAAAGAUAAAGAAUGCGAAGAAGCCCUGUUUCUGACUGGUUGACCUGUGGUUCAGAAAUAAAGCGUCUUUCCCAGGUCAGGAGUUUGAGUGACUUGGCUGUGUUAUUAGGCUCAGAGUCUCUCAUGAAGUUGCGGUCAGGGCUGCGGUCAUCUGAAGGCUUGGCUGGGGCUGGAGGUUCUGCUUCCAAGGUGGCUCACUCACAUGGCUGGAAGGAGCCGGCACAUGCUGAGCAAAGGAAAAACUCUUGCCUUCUCUUGGUUCCGAGGUCUCUGAAGGAUUCCAGCCCAGGUCAUUUCUACUGCCACCCUCACCUACACACACCCACACCCAGGUGCACGUGCGCACACACUGGUGUCCCUUCCAGGGGACCUUACAAGAACCAGAGCUGGACCUGGGUUGGCCACAAGACAACAGGAAGGUGCACAAUCCAAAUCGCAGGUGGUUUUCUACAGCAGAAAUCCCUGCCUCUUUUCUUCAAUGAUUUUAGUAUGAUCUCUCUCUCUGUCCCUCGUCACCGGCCCCCCCCCCCACCCCCACC